AUUUUUAAAAAUAAAAAAGAGGGAAACCCUCACCUCUCCAUAGCAAGUUUUGAAGAAACCCCCAUUCUUCCAGCCGCCACUUUCUUUUCUUCUACUGCCACUCCUCAGCCACCGCCUGCCUAAAAAUCGUCUGGCCUCUCCUUUGUGCGCGCCCUCCGCCGAACGGUCUAGUCAGCAGUCAAGCCUCCAGCCGGUCAGACCUACAUCCCGCCACUCCGUCCGCCAAGGGAUGAAGCCGAACGACGACCCAACUCAGUCGUCGCGCCUUAGCCGCCGAUUCGUUCCUCCAACCGUCUGCCCGUGCCGUUCUUCGAUUGGGCCAACGACCUUUUUCAUCUAAGGCACUGCCCAGCCCUUGCUGCCUUCGAUUGCUGCUGGUUUUAUGUUUGGGUAAGUUGUUUAACGUAUCGGUUAAUUUUAGGAUCAUCUACUUGAUUUUUGGUUGGAUGCUAGGAUUGGAGUUUGAAGGAGAUUUCGUGCGCUGUCCAGCGACUAUUGAAGUUUCUUUUGCGGAGAUUUUUGGUAAGUUUCAAGGCUUGGAGAGACUCCCUCCCCCCUUGUUGUUUGGUUUGAUGUUGAAUCUUUGUGUGUUAGUGAGGUUGUCAUUGGAUUCAAAGAACAUAUAUUUGGUCUAAGAUUAUUGAACUAUUUGAGAUUGUUGGAAUAUAGACCCUAACUAUUAUCAUUGAAUUUGUUUAUAUUGGAACUUUUGCUUGGGAGUGGUGGAACUACCUUUGGAACCAAGCCACAUUUUUUGGGUUGAUUUAAGCCUUCCAAAGGCUGUGAGAAGAUUAGUUGUGUGGAGUAGAAUUUGCGACCAAUUUUUGAGGUAAGGGUAGAGAUGCAUCGGCAAUGACGCAGUGGAAUUCGUGAUCGUGCCACUGGGACUAGUUUUUACACUUCCGCACCUUGAAAUUUGAGUCCUUAUUUUCCUCUUAAUAUUUAGUUUUACUGUUAAAAAUUUAUUUCUUAGGAUUAUUUCUUUCGUAUACUUUUGUUGGUCUUUAAGAAUUUUGGGUACCCUAUUAUUUGUUUUAACAAUUGCAUUUAAUAAAUGUCUUUUGAACUUCUCUUGUUU
Molecule: non-coding RNA, 1078 nt
Organism: Benincasa hispida (wax gourd)
Lineage: Eukaryota; Viridiplantae; Streptophyta; Magnoliopsida; Cucurbitales; Cucurbitaceae
Source: RefSeq, a predicted model, not a curated record